UGGCUAGUAGCUCAAUUGGCAGAGCAACCGCCUCCAAAACGGUAGGUUCUCGGUUCGAAUCCGGGCUAGCCAG
RNAcentral lists this transfer RNA (73 nucleotides) under Nonomuraea cypriaca. It matches the Rfam family "tRNA". Rfam says of the family: Transfer RNA (tRNA) molecules are approximately 80 nucleotides in length. Their secondary structure includes four short double-helical elements and three loops (D, anti-codon, and T loops). The record is from Rfam by way of RNAcentral. Lineage: Bacteria; Bacillati; Actinomycetota; Actinomycetes; Streptosporangiales; Streptosporangiaceae.